GUUUCAUUUUUUUCCGCUGCCGAACCGAAGCCGUGCCCUACGGUGGGGCGGAUGCGUCGCCGCCGCCCUUCCCCUGCCGGUUCUCCUCCUCCGAUAUUAAAGUUGUGGCUGAGGGUUUUUGCAACCCUUCCUUCUCCUCUUCCCCUUCUUCUGUGCCCUAGAUUUUUUGCCGCCGGCGACCUUUAUGCCACCGUCGACCAAUUCUUCCCUUCCUCCUCUGACAGCCACUUCUCGCCACUGCCGAACCCCUCAUCUGCCGGCGCCCAUUGUUGUGGAGAUCCUAGUGCCGCCGCUGCCUUCUCUCGACCCGAGAAGUGCUAUCAUCUUUGUGCCCUAGUGUCGGUUCACCAGCCAUCCAGUGGCGAGUCCUUCCAUCGCACUACUGCCUCCGCACCUUCUUCCUCAUUGUGGUCAUGCCUCCCUUGCCCUAAUCUCUGCUCUGUCUUCCAUGUGCCCGAGAUCUGAGCCAGUACUUGAUUUGGGGGCAUUCGUUGGGUGGUCAACAGGUAUGGAUGUUUUCUAUGAAGCUGGAAUCGUGAGCAGUGUUAGCAAGAACUGUUAUAUUGAGGACUUUGAUGCGAGACGAGCAUCUUGACGUUGGUCUUGAUUGGAUUAGACCUGCUAUUUGGAGGCGAGUACCUCUUGACUUAUCUUUUAUGAUAUUGUCAUUUAGAUAUGCAUAGUAUUUUAUAGCUACAAGCAAUGAUC
Molecule: long non-coding RNA, 708 nt
Organism: Zingiber officinale
Lineage: Eukaryota; Viridiplantae; Streptophyta; Magnoliopsida; Zingiberales; Zingiberaceae
Exons: 3
Source: RefSeq, a predicted model, not a curated record